GUAGGUGGCAAGCGUUGUCCGGAAUUAUUGGGCGUAAAGCGCGCGCAGGUGGUUCUUUAAGUCUGAUGUGAAAGCCCACGGCUCAACCGUGGAGGGUCAUUGGAAACUGGAGAACUUGAGUACAGAAGAGGAGAGCGGAAUUCCACGUGUAGCGGUGAAAUGCGUAGAGAUGUGGAGGAACACCAGUGGCGAAGGCGGCUUUCUGGUCUGUAACUGACGCUGAGGCGCGAAAGCGUGGGGAGCAAACAGGAUUAGAUACCCUGGUAGUCCACGCCGUAAACGAUGAGUGCUAAGUGUUAGGGGGGUUUCCGCCCCCCUUAGUGCUGCAGCUAACGCAUUAAGCACUCCGCCUGGGAGUACGGCCGCAAGGCUG
This 373-nucleotide ribosomal RNA is filed under the name uncultured organism. RNAcentral describes it as "partial 16S ribosomal RNA". It matches the Rfam family "Bacterial small subunit ribosomal RNA", at positions 527 to 896 of the family's 1533-position model. The record is from RNAcentral.